RNAcentral lists this ribosomal RNA (253 nucleotides) under uncultured bacterium. RNAcentral describes it as "partial 16S ribosomal RNA". It matches the Rfam family "Bacterial small subunit ribosomal RNA", at positions 524 to 776 of the family's 1533-position model. The record is from RNAcentral.
UACGUAGGGUGCAAGCGUUGUCCGGAAUUAUUGGGCGUAAAGAGCUCGUAGGCGGUUUGUCGCGUCUGCUGUGAAAACGCGAGGCUCAACCUCGCGCCUGCAGUGGGUACGGGCAGACUAGAGUGCGGUAGGGGAGAUUGGAAUUCCUGGUGUGGCGGUGGAAUGCGCAGAUAUCAGGAGGAACACCGAUGGCGAAGGCAGAUCUCUGGGCCGUAACUGACGCUGAGGAGCGAAAGCAUGGGGAGCGAACAGG